GAGCCAGUGGAUGAAGGGAGUGGGCCGUACCCCAACAUCUAUUUGGGCUGGGCUCAGGAAAGUCCCCGGGCCACGUGCUGCAGAGAUGCAGUCUUAGAAACGAGAUGGGCUUCGAGGGUUUGGAGCUCCCGUCGCCACCGCGCGACGAGGCUGAGACGCGUGCGGAGCCUCCGUGAGGCUGAAUCGGCCGGUGCUCACAGUUAUUCACUUGGCCCAUUGUUCUAACAGAACGGGGCUUACGCUCCACUGGCU
RNAcentral lists this RNase MRP RNA (252 nucleotides) under Eucalyptus grandis. RNAcentral's name for it is "RNase MRP". It matches the Rfam family "RNase MRP". Rfam says of the family: RNase MRP is an enzymatically active ribonucleoprotein with two distinct roles in eukaryotes. The record is from Rfam by way of RNAcentral. Lineage: Eukaryota; Viridiplantae; Streptophyta; Magnoliopsida; Myrtales; Myrtaceae.